AAUAAGAGAUGUUAGUGACAUAUUUUUGUGCUUUUGGUUAGUAAAUAAAAUGAGAAAAUCAAUAAUAUAAAAUUCAAGCAUGCUUGGUGAUCUCAAACCAACUCACAAGAGGUCCCACCCAAAGGUAAGGGAACCAAGAUGCUUAUGAUCCUUGAGGCAAUGUAAAAUGCAAUGUUAUGAUGUCAUGAGGGAUCUUAGGG
This 200-nucleotide long non-coding RNA is filed under the name Lathyrus oleraceus (garden pea). Its description in RNAcentral is "Pisum sativum (pea) long non-coding RNA (PSAT_LNC042044)". The record is from RNAcentral. Lineage: Eukaryota; Viridiplantae; Streptophyta; Magnoliopsida; Fabales; Fabaceae.